Molecule: ribosomal RNA, 896 nt
Filed under: Amanita vaginata
Lineage: Eukaryota; Fungi; Basidiomycota; Agaricomycetes; Agaricales; Amanitaceae
Description: LSU rRNA
Rfam family: Eukaryotic large subunit ribosomal RNA
Source: RNAcentral
GGAUUCCCCUAGUAACUGCGAGUGAAGCGGGAAAAGCUCAAAUUUGAAAUCUGGCAGUCUUUUUUUUCUUCUUUGGCUGUCCGAGUUGUAAUCUAGAGAAGUGCUUACCUGCGCUGGACCAUGUAUAAGUCUCCUGGAAUGGAGCGUCGCAGAGGGUGAGAAUCCCGUCUUUGACAUGGACUGCCAGUGUGUUGUGGUGUGCUCUCAAAGAGUCGAGUUGUUUGGGAAUGCAGCUCUAAAUGGGUGGUAAACUCCAUCUAAAGCUAAAUAUUGGCGAGAGACCGAUAGCGAACAAGUACCGUGAGGGAAAGAUGAAAAGGACUUUGGAAAGAGAGUUAAACAGUAUGUGAAAUUGUUGAAAGGGAAACGCUUGAAGUCAGUUGUGUCGGCUAGGGAUCAACCUAGCUGUUUUUUGCUGGGUGAAUUUCCUAGUCUGACAGGCCAACAUCAGUCUUGACUGCCAGAAAAGAGCAGUGGGAAUGUGGCACCUUCGGGUGUGUUAUAGCCCUUUGUCAUAUGUGGCGGUUGGGACUGAGGGAUGCAGCAUGCCGUGAGGCUGGGUCUUUGACCACCUUCGUGCUUAGGAUGUUGGCUUUUAAUGGCUUCAAUCGACCCGUCUUGAAACACGGACCAAGGAGUCUAACAUGCCUGCGAGUGUUUGGGUGGGGAAAACCCUUGUGCACAAUGAAAGUGAAAGUUGAGAUCCCUGUCAUGGGGAGCAUCGACGCCCGGACCUGAGCUUUUAGCGACGGAUCUGCGGUAGAGCAUGCAUGUUGGGACCCGAAAGAUGGUGAACUAUGCCUGAAUAGGGCAAAGCCAGAGGAAACUCUGGUGGAGGCUCGUAGCGAUUCUGACGUGCAAAUCGAUCGUCAAAUUUGGGUAUAGGGGCGAAAGAC